Molecule: long non-coding RNA, 600 nt
Filed under: Elaeis guineensis (African oil palm)
Lineage: Eukaryota; Viridiplantae; Streptophyta; Magnoliopsida; Arecales; Arecaceae
Description: long non-coding RNA (EGUI_LNC082268)
Source: RNAcentral
AUGAGAAAUGAUUUUUUCUAUAUCCUCUAUUAAGCAUAUCCAAGUACCUUUCGAGAAGAUUGGAGAUCCUACUAUGUAUAUGAGGUGGAAGAAAAAUAUAUGUCUACUGACUCAUGAUGAACAGGUUCUUAAGAUCCCAAGACUCGCUGCUCUUCAAAGAUACUCUCUUUGAGCUCAACUUUCCUCCCACUGCUUUAUCUUUGUCAAAUAAUUUUUCAAGAAAAUAACAUGUCAGAUCACAUUGCAAUCCUUUCAGAAAGUAAUAUCCCAAACUCUUUUAGGAUAAGCUUUAUAAACUUAUCCUCUAACAUAUCCACCUGCUGCCUUAGACACAAGUUGGACAUCCUUGAAUCUCAAAAUAAUCAAGAUUCAAUUCUCACUAUGUCAUAUCUCAUCCGGUGUGGUAGAAACAGAUUUAGAGAGAACCUAAUUUUAUAUAAAUAAAGCAUGUCCAUAAAGAAACAUAAAUAAAUCAGUGAAGUUUCAUUAUGGACCAGACCACUCUUCUUAUCUCGUUGAGCUGAGAUGUACUAAGAGUAGUCCAAUAUGAAACAAUACCAUUUUAUGAGAUAAUCGAAAAAAAUUUUUCAUUGGUAUUGC